This 497-nucleotide ribosomal RNA is filed under the name uncultured bacterium. RNAcentral's name for it is "partial 16S ribosomal RNA". It matches the Rfam family "Bacterial small subunit ribosomal RNA", at positions 28 to 507 of the family's 1533-position model. The record is from RNAcentral.
GAUGAACGCUGGCGGCGUGCCUAAUACAUGCAAGUCGAGCGAACAGACGAGGAGCUUGCUCCUCUGACGUUAGCGGCGGACGGGUGAGUAACACGUGGAUAACCUACCUAUAAGACUGGGAUAACUUCGUGAAACCGGAGCUAAUACCGGAUAAUAUAUUGAACCGCAUGGUUCAAUAGUGAAAGACGGUUUUGCUGUCACUUAUAGAUGGAUCCGCACCGCAUUAGCUAGUUGGUAAGGUAACGGCUUACCAAGGCGACGAUGCGUAGCCGACCUGAGAGGGUGAUCGGCCACACUGGAACUGAGACACGGUCCAGACUCCCACGGGAGGCAGCAGUAGGGAAUCUUCCGCAAUGGGCGAAAGCCUGACGGAGCAACGCCGCGUGAGUGAUGAAGGUCUUCGGAUCGUAAAACUCUGUUAUUAGGGAAGAACAAAUGUGUAAGUAACUAUGCACGUCUUGACGGUACCUAAUCAGAAAGCCACGGCUAACUACGUG